This 253-nucleotide ribosomal RNA is filed under the name uncultured bacterium. RNAcentral's name for it is "partial 16S ribosomal RNA". It matches the Rfam family "Bacterial small subunit ribosomal RNA", at positions 524 to 776 of the family's 1533-position model. The record is from RNAcentral.
UACGUAGGGCGCAAGCGUUGUCCGGAAUUAUUGGGCGUAAAGAGCUCGUAGGCGGCCUGUCGCGUCUGCUGUGAAAUCCCGGGGCUUAACCCCGGGCGUGCAGUGGAUACGGGCUGGCUGGAGGCAGGCAGGGGAGAACGGAAUUCCCGGUGUAGCGGUGAAAUGCGCAGAUAUCGGGAGGAACACCGGUGGCAAAGGCGGUUCUCUGGGCCUGUUCUGACGCUGAGGAGCGAAAGCGUGGGGAGCGAACAGG